GACGAACGCUGGCGGCGUGCUUAACACAUGCAAGUCGAACGGAAAGGCCCUUCUUUUGUGGGGUGCUCGAGUGGCGAACGGGUGAGUAACACGUGAGUAACCUGCCCUUGACUUUGGGAUAACUUCAGGAAACUGGGGCUAAUACCGGAUAGGAGCUCCUGCUGCAUGGUGGGGGUUGGAAAGUUUCGGCGGUUGGGGAUGGACUCGCGGCUUAUCAGCUUGUUGGUGGGGUAGUGGCUUACCAAGGCUUUGACGGGUAGCCGGCCUGAGAGGGUGACCGGCCACAUUGGGACUGAGAUACGGCCCAGACUCCUACGGGAGGCAGCAGUGGGGAAUAUUGCACAAUUGGCGGAAGCCUGAUGCAGCAACGCCGCGUGCGGGAUGACGGCCUUCGGGUUGUAAACCGCUUUCGCCUGUGACGAAGCGUGAGUGACGGUAAUGGGUAAAGAAGCACCGGCUAACUACGUG
Molecule: ribosomal RNA, 468 nt
Filed under: uncultured bacterium
Lineage: Bacteria
Description: partial 16S ribosomal RNA
Rfam family: Bacterial small subunit ribosomal RNA
Source: RNAcentral